This 404-nucleotide ribosomal RNA is filed under the name bacterium. RNAcentral's name for it is "partial 16S ribosomal RNA". It matches the Rfam family "Bacterial small subunit ribosomal RNA", at positions 355 to 776 of the family's 1533-position model. The record is from RNAcentral.
UGGGGAAUAUUGGACAAUGGGCGAAAGCCUGAUCCAGCAAUGCCGCGUGAGUGAAGAAGGCCUUAGGGUUGUAAAGCUCUUUCACCCGCGACGAUGAUGACGGUAGCGGGAGAAGAAGCCCCGGCUAAUUCCGUGCCAGCAGCCGCGGUAAUACGGAAGGGGCUAGCGUUGUUCGGAAUCACUGGGCGUAAAGCGCGCGUAGGCGGCCGGUCAAGUGCGGCGUGAAAGUCCUGGGCUCAACCCGGGGACGGCGCUGCGGACUGUCCGGGUGGAGUCCGGAAGAGGGUGGUGGAAUUCCGAGUGUAGAGGUGAAAUUCGUAGAUAUUCGGAGGAACACCGGUGGCGAAGGCGGGCACCUGGUCCGGUACUGACGCUCAAGCGCGAAAGCGUAGGGAGCAAACAGG